Molecule: ribosomal RNA, 253 nt
Filed under: uncultured bacterium
Lineage: Bacteria
Description: partial 16S ribosomal RNA
Rfam family: Bacterial small subunit ribosomal RNA
Source: RNAcentral
UACGAAGGGGGCUAGCGUUGCUCGGAAUCACUGGGCGUAAAGCGCACGUAGGCGGCUUUUUAAGUCAGGGGUGAAAUCCUGGAGCUCAACUCCAGAACUGCCUUUGAUACUGAGAAGCUUGAGUCCGGGAGAGGUGAGUGGAACUGCGAGUGUAGAGGUGAAAUUCGUAGAUAUCAAGCAGAACACCUGCGGCGAAGGCGGCCUUCUGGACGAUGACUGACGCUGAGACGCGAAAGCGUGGGGAGCAAACAGG